RNAcentral lists this ribosomal RNA (497 nucleotides) under uncultured bacterium. Its description in RNAcentral is "partial 16S ribosomal RNA". It matches the Rfam family "Bacterial small subunit ribosomal RNA", at positions 28 to 507 of the family's 1533-position model. The record is from RNAcentral.
GAUGAACGCUGGCGGCUUGCCUAAUACAUGCAAGUCGAGCGAACAGACGAGUAUCUCUCUCCUCUUACGUUUGCGGCGGUCGGGUGAGUAACACGAAGAUAACCUUCCUAUAAGACUGGCAUAACUAUGGGAAACCGGAGCUAAUACCGGUUCAUAUAUUGAACCGCAGGGUUCAUCAGUGAUAGACGGCUUUGCUGUCACUUAUAGAUGGAUCCGCGCCGCAUUAGCUAGUUGGUAAGGUAACGGCUUACCAAGGCAACGAUGCGUAGCCGACCUGAGAGGGUGAUCGGCCACACUGGAACUGAGACACGGUCCAGACUCCUACGGGAGGCAGCAGUAGGGAAUCUUGCGCAAUGGGCGAGAGCCUGACGGAGCAACGCCGCGUGAGUGAUGAAGGUCUUCGGAUCGUAAAUCUCUGUUAUUUGGGAAGAACAAAUGUGUAAGUAACUGUGCACGUCUUGACGGUACCUAAUCAAAAAGCCCCGGCUAACUACGUG